Molecule: ribosomal RNA, 821 nt
Filed under: uncultured bacterium
Lineage: Bacteria
Description: bacterial SSU rRNA
Rfam family: Bacterial small subunit ribosomal RNA
Source: RNAcentral
UCAAUUGAGUCAGAUUGCGAAUCCCUAAGCUAACCUUAGAAUCUGCAUUGAAAUCUGAUAGCUUAGAGAUUUGUAGUGCGCGGGUAGAAUUGCAGGUGUAGCAGUGAAAUGCGUAGAGAUCUAGGAGGAAUACCAGUGGCGAAGGCGACCCCCUGGACAAAGACUGACACUCAUGUACGAAAGCGUGGGGAGCAAACAGGAUUAGAUACCCUGGUAGACCAUGCUGUAAACAAUGUCAAUUUGAAGGUUGUAGCCUUGAGUUAUAGCUUUGGUAGCUAACGCGUUAAAUUGAUCGCCUGGGGAGUACGGCCGCAAGGUUAAAUCUCAAAUGAAUUGACGGGGGCCCGCACAAGCGGUGGAGCAUGUGGUUUAAUUCGAUGCAACGCGAAAAACCUUACCUAUUCUUGACAUCCAAAGAAUAAAACAGAAAUGUUUUAGUGCCUUAGGGAACUUUGAGACAGGUGCUGCAUGGCUGUCGUCAGCUCGUGUUGUGAAAUGUUGGGUUAAGUCCCGCACCGAGCGCAACCCCUAUCCUUUGUUGCCAUCGAGUAAAGUCGGGAACUCAAAGGAGACUGCUGGUGAUAAACCGGAGGAAGGUGGGGACGACGUCAAGUCAUCAUGGCCCUUACGAAUAGGGCUACACACGUGCUACAAUGGCAUAUACAAAGAGAAGCGAUCUUGCAAAAGCUAGCAAAUCUCAUAAAGUAUGUCGUAGUUCGGAUUGGAGUCUGCAACUCGACUCCAUGAAGUCGGAAUCGCUAGUAAUCGUAGAUCAGAAUGCUACGGUGAAUACGUUCCCGGGCCUUGUACACCCCCCCGUC